AACUUUGCGCAGUAGCAGUAUCGUAGCCAAUGAGGUUAAUGCGAGGAGCGAUUAUUGCUAAUUGAAAACAGUGUUAAACCCACUUUUUGUUAUUUUGUACUGAGG
This 105-nucleotide small nuclear RNA is filed under the name Charadrius vociferus (killdeer). Its description in RNAcentral is "U4 spliceosomal RNA". It matches the Rfam family "U4 spliceosomal RNA", at positions 1 to 105 of the family's 138-position model. From Rfam's summary of the family: U4 small nuclear RNA (U4 snRNA) is a component of the major U2-dependent spliceosome. The structure of U4 snRNA from yeast and human has been reported. Lineage: Eukaryota; Metazoa; Chordata; Aves; Charadriiformes; Charadriidae. The record is from Rfam by way of RNAcentral.